RNAcentral lists this ribosomal RNA (438 nucleotides) under Hydrometra gracilenta. Its description in RNAcentral is "partial 16S ribosomal RNA". The record is from RNAcentral. Lineage: Eukaryota; Metazoa; Arthropoda; Insecta; Hemiptera; Hydrometridae.
GUUCUUUAGAUUAUACUUUAAGAUCUGACCUGCCCUAUGAUUAAUAAAUUAAAUGGCUGCGGUAUUUUAACCGUACAAAGGUAGCAUAAUCACUUGUCUUUUAAUUGAAGGCUAGAAUGAAUGGUUUGAUGAAAAAUUAACUUUUUUAAACUAAUUAUUUGAAUUUAAUUUUUAAUUUAAAAAGAUUAAAUUACUUUAUGGGACGAGAAGACCCUUUAGAAGUUUAUUUAAAAAUAAAAUAAAUAAUUUUUGUUUUAUAUUUUAUUUAUUUUUUUUUUAAAUUUUGUUGGGGUGACAUAUAAAAUUAAUUAACUUUAUAAUUUUAAACUCAAAAAUUUUUGUUUAUUUGAUCCAGAAUUUCUGAUUAUUAGAUUAACUUACCUUAGGGAUAACAGCGUAAUUAAUUUGGAGAGUUCAUAUUGAUAAAUUAGAUUGCGA